UCUUCGGGACCUGGCACCUGCUGCCUCCUAGGCCUUGCCCUCCUCCACCUCUGGGUUGCUCCUCACGGUUCUGGGAUCACCACUGCAGCCCCUGCCUUGACCUCGCUUGACCUUCCCUCCUCCUGGGACCCCACCCUGCUCCCACGGUGAGUCUCCUUCUCCUUCAGGUCUCUACCCAGGCGGCAGCUUUCAAAAGGAGGGCGUUUCUGACCCCACAAAUAAAAGAGCGCACCUUCCCACUCUCUUGGCCAGACUUUCUUACACCACCUGGUAUCUAUUUGCUACUUCCUGUUUCCACCCCAUCUAUUCCUGCAUCCCCCGUACCUGAUCGCUUCACUCCCAUCCCCAGGUAGUCAUGUAUUCCUGAAUCCCCAGCACCUAGAACAAGAUCCCGGCAGGUGUCUGGGACUCCGGACAGUGAGAGGAGCCGUGUGCAAGCUCCUUGACCACGUGGGCGUAUCCAAGAGGCUGGGUGGGCGUGGGGGGAUCAGCUUGAUCUACCAUAGGAGCAGAAGAGGUCUGGAGUGAAGGAGGAUGGGCUUGUGAUGAAGACAGUAAUGGGAGACGAGGGGAGCCUCCUGAUGUGAACCACAGAGAAGACUGAUGCAGAGAAUGGCAGCCGCUUUGAGCCAAAUGUGGCAGCCUCCCUGGAACGGUGAAAAAGUCCGAGAGGCCGAGUAAGAGACAAGGUGCGAUCACAGGCUGUCCAGAGGGCAGAAUUAGCUGAGCCACGGCAGAGGUGUAUUCAAAUGAACAGGAUAACAUGGCAUUUCCUGAUAGAGUCAAAGCUGCUGCGGGGAAACAAGAUGGAUUUCAGCGUCAGAGAAAGCCAUCUUUGCUGUUGCUGAGAAUCAGUGGCAAAGUGGAUAUGGCUCCCCUGCCUGUCAUCUCUGCACUGGAUGUGAACUUUCCAUCGGGCAGAGGUUUCGUGUUGAGAAUUUAACAGCGCCGGUGGCCCUGAGUAGUGAGCUGAGCAACAUGGCCAAGAGGAUCAGAAAAGGCUACCGCCAUAGUCCUCAGCUCAUCGUCUGUCGGCUUAGAAGCAGCCCGGUUAUGAGGAACCCAGAUCAGGCAAUGUAAUUUUGAGAACUUUGUAGAACAAACUCCUAAUCCAAGCUGGCCUUAGUGGAAAAUGCCUGAGAUGCCGAGACAGGGGAGCACUGUAAGUUCCAUGUCAGUCUGUACUGUAUAAUGAGUUCCAGAUCAGCCUGGACCCCAGAGUGAGAUGCUGUCACAGUAACUACAACCACCAAUGAACAACCCUCUAACCCAAACAAAAACUCAACAAAUCACCUAAAACUCAGAGUCCUAUUCUAAUCGUUUUCUGUAGGGAUUAAUGCCCAUAAGCAGGAAAGUUGCCAGCACCAUGCCAAAAAAUAAUAGUAGUUUUGACUACAAAAUGUCCACAUAAUUUUCCUCUUGAAAUUUGAGAUUUAGGAAGUAAAGGUAUCCUGCUGAGCAAGGCAGCUAAUCAAUUUUAUUGUGGCCCUCCAGUGCUUAUGUGGGAGCUUACA
This is a long non-coding RNA of Mesocricetus auratus (golden hamster), 1514 nucleotides long. RefSeq lists it as uncharacterized. NCBI's taxonomy places the organism in Eukaryota, Metazoa, Chordata, Mammalia, Rodentia, Cricetidae. The transcript is spliced from 3 exons. The record is from RefSeq and is a predicted model, not a curated record.